GAUGAACGCUGGCGGCGUGCUUAACACAUGCAAGUCGAACGAAGCAUUUAGAACAGAUUACUUCGGUUUGAAGUUCUUUAUGACUGAGUGGCGGACGGGUGAGUAACGCGUGGGUAACCUGCCUUGUACUGGGGGAUAGCAGCUGGAAACGGCUGGUAAUACCGCAUAAGCGCACAAUGUUGCAUGACAUGGUGUGAAAAACUCCGGUGGUAUAAGAUGGACCCGCGUCUGAUUAGCUAGUUGGUGAGAUAACAGCCCACCAAGGCGACGAUCAGUAGCCGACCUGAGAGGGUGACCGGCCACAUUGGGACUAGGACACAGCCCAGACUCCUACGGGAGGCAGCAGUGGGGAAUAUUGCACAAUGGAGGAAACUCUGAUGCAGCGACGCCGCGUGAGUGAAGAAGUAAUUCGUUAUGUAAAGCUCUAUCAGCAGGGAAGAUAGUGACGGUACCUGACUAAGAAGCUCCGGCUAAAUACGUG
RNAcentral lists this ribosomal RNA (481 nucleotides) under uncultured bacterium. RNAcentral describes it as "partial 16S ribosomal RNA". It matches the Rfam family "Bacterial small subunit ribosomal RNA", at positions 28 to 507 of the family's 1533-position model. The record is from RNAcentral.